This 561-nucleotide long non-coding RNA is filed under the name Vigna radiata. RNAcentral's name for it is "long non-coding RNA (VRAD_LNC008064)". Lineage: Eukaryota; Viridiplantae; Streptophyta; Magnoliopsida; Fabales; Fabaceae. The record is from RNAcentral.
UUGGGGUGCAAAAACGUAAAGGAAGAGAUGGGGACAUGUGAGCGUCUCAGGAUGAACUGCAGAGUCUCGGUGUGAGGUUAUGUGUGAGUAAAGUGUGAUCAAGGGAGUCUAACAAGGGCUUUGUUAUGAAGGUUGAAUUUAGGUUGAAUUUAAUUAGGAUGAUCAAGUGUAUUGAAUUGGAACAUGGCGGAGAGCUUAUGAAUAUGUAACGUAAAUGGUGAGGAUAAGAGAAAGUUGCUGGGUGGGACCGUGUAUAAAAGUUGAAUAGAUGAGUUUUUUUUUUAAAAAAAAAAAAGGGUUUUGGCCGCGGUUGUAGCACGAACUGUGGCCUAUUCUCCAGCCUUUUACCGCGGUUCGAACUGCGGCCUAUUGUUUUAGGAAUUUUUUUUUAAAAUAAAAAGAGGGGGUUUUCACCGCGGUUCUAGGGGAACCACAGUCAUAUCCCCAGCUUUUUACCAUGGUUGGCACCGUGGCCUAAAGUCCCAGACAUUUUACCGCGGCUGUAUAUGUCACGGUUCAUGAACCGCAACGUAUAUGCAAAAACAACCGCGGUCAUUUCCC